UGGGUAACCUGCCUUAUAGUGGGGGGAUAGCCUUUCGAAAGGAAGAUUAAUACCGCAUAAGAUUGUAGUAUCGCAUGAUAUAGCAAUUAAAAGGAGCAAUCCGCUAUAAGAUGGACCCGCGUCGCAUUAGCUAGUUGGUGAGGUGAUGGCUCACCAAGGCGACGAUGCGUAGCCGACCUGAGAGGGUGAUCGGCCACAUUGGGACUGAGACACGGCCCAGACUCCUACGGGAGGCAGCAUG
RNAcentral lists this ribosomal RNA (241 nucleotides) under uncultured bacterium. RNAcentral's name for it is "partial 16S ribosomal RNA". It matches the Rfam family "Bacterial small subunit ribosomal RNA", at positions 118 to 353 of the family's 1533-position model. The record is from RNAcentral.